GGACUACAGGGGUAUCUAAUCCUGUUUGAUCCCCGCACUUUCGGGUCUGAGUGUCAGUGUUGGGCCAGAUCGCCGCCUUCGCCACCGGUGUUCCUCCAGAUAUCUACGUAUUUCACCACUACACCUGGAAUUCCACGAUCCUCUCCCACACUCAAGCUUCGCAGUAUCAAAAGCACUUCCUGGGUUAAGCCCAGGGCUUUCACUCCUGACUUACAAAGCCACCUACACCCGCUUUACGCCCAAUGAUUCCGAGCAACGCUUGGACCCCUCGUCUUACCGCGGCUGCUGGCAC
RNAcentral lists this ribosomal RNA (292 nucleotides) under uncultured bacterium. RNAcentral's name for it is "partial 16S ribosomal RNA". The record is from RNAcentral.